RNAcentral lists this ribosomal RNA (253 nucleotides) under uncultured bacterium. Its description in RNAcentral is "partial 16S ribosomal RNA". It matches the Rfam family "Bacterial small subunit ribosomal RNA", at positions 524 to 776 of the family's 1533-position model. The record is from RNAcentral.
UACGUAGGGGGCAAGCGUUGUCCGGAUUUAUUGGGCGUAAAGAGCGCGCAGGCGGUUCGUUAAGUCCGAGGUGAAAUCUCCCGGCUCAACUGGGAUAGGUCUUCGGAUACUGGCGGACUUGAGGAGAGCAGAGGUGAGUGGAAUUCUCGGUGUAGUGGUGAAAUGCGUAGAUAUCGAGAGGAACACCAGUGGCGAAGGCGGCUCACUGGGCUCCACCUGACGCUGAGGCGCGAAAGCGUGGGGAGCGAACCGG